CAGCAGCCGCGGUAAUACGGAGGGUGCAAGCGUUGUUCGGAAUUAUUGGGCGUAAAGCGCGUGUAGGUGGUUAGGUAAGUCAGAUGUGAAAGCCUUCUGCUUAACAGAAGAAGUGCAUUUGAAACUGCUUAGCUAGAGUACGGGAAAGGAGAGUGGAAUUCCCGGUGUAGAGGUGAAAUUCGUAGAUAUCGGGAGGAACACCAGUGGCGAAGGCGGCUCUCUGGUCCGAUACUGACGCUGAGACGCGAAAGCGUGGGGAGCAAACAGGAUUAGAUACCCUGGUAGUCCACGCCGUAAACUUUGGGCACUUGGUGUUGCGGGUAUUGACCCCUGCAGUGCCGAAGCUAGCGCAUUAAGUGCCCCGCCUGGGGAGUACGGCCGCAAGGCUAAAACUCAAAGGAAUUGACGG
RNAcentral lists this ribosomal RNA (409 nucleotides) under uncultured bacterium. Its description in RNAcentral is "bacterial SSU rRNA". It matches the Rfam family "Bacterial small subunit ribosomal RNA", at positions 509 to 916 of the family's 1533-position model. The record is from RNAcentral.